This 357-nucleotide unclassified non-coding RNA is filed under the name Hevea brasiliensis (rubber tree). Lineage: Eukaryota; Viridiplantae; Streptophyta; Magnoliopsida; Malpighiales; Euphorbiaceae. The record is from RNAcentral.
GGCUAGUUAUCUUUAUUUUUCAGGAUUAUUAUUGGAUGUUAAAAUUAUUUGUCUGCUUAUAUUUUAUGGCCUGUCAUGGGUUGGGUAUCACAAUUUCAUCUGUACUAGAGUCAAACUCCUUGGGAGUUUAGACAGAUCUUUGUUUAUUAAGAAAUGGCUAUCCCCAGCCCAAACAACGCAAAAAAGAAAGUUGACAAAAAGGAUGGCUGCAAAUUCAAGUGCAUCAUGGAAAUAUCUUUCAGAAGCAACAAAAAUGAAAAAGGAAAAGAGGUUAAAAAAAAAUAUUUACGGUAUACUAACAUCAAGAAAUGAAGGAAAGUGGGAUAGCAAAUAAAAGAGGAAAUAAUUGGCAAACAC